GCCGCCUUAGCUCAGCUAGCAGAGCAGCACUUUCGUAAAGUGAAGGUCCCCAGUGCAAAUCUGGGAGGCGGCUCAA
RNAcentral lists this transfer RNA (76 nucleotides) under Candidatus Yanofskybacteria bacterium RIFCSPHIGHO2_02_FULL_41_11. RNAcentral's name for it is "tRNA-Thr". It matches the Rfam family "tRNA". Rfam says of the family: Transfer RNA (tRNA) molecules are approximately 80 nucleotides in length. Their secondary structure includes four short double-helical elements and three loops (D, anti-codon, and T loops). The record is from RNAcentral. Lineage: Bacteria; Candidatus Yanofskyibacteriota.